Molecule: transfer RNA, 69 nt
Filed under: Ictidomys tridecemlineatus (thirteen-lined ground squirrel)
Lineage: Eukaryota; Metazoa; Chordata; Mammalia; Rodentia; Sciuridae
Description: Spermophilus tridecemlineatus (thirteen-lined ground squirrel) tRNA
Rfam family: tRNA
About the family: Transfer RNA (tRNA) molecules are approximately 80 nucleotides in length. Their secondary structure includes four short double-helical elements and three loops (D, anti-codon, and T loops). Further hydrogen bonds mediate the characteristic L-shaped molecular structure. tRNAs have two regions of fundamental functional importance: the anti-codon, which is responsible for specific mRNA codon recognition, and the 3' end, to which the tRNAs corresponding amino acid is attached (by aminoacyl-tRNA synthetases). tRNAs cope with the degeneracy of the genetic code in two manners: having more than one tRNA (with a specific anti-codon) for a particular amino acid; and 'wobble' base-pairing, i.e. permitting non-standard base-pairing at the 3rd anti-codon position.
Source: Rfam by way of RNAcentral
GGGGUUGUGGCUCAGUGGUAGAGCGCUUGCCUAGCAUGUGUGAGGUACUGGGUUCAAUCCCCAGCACCA